This 509-nucleotide ribosomal RNA is filed under the name uncultured bacterium. RNAcentral describes it as "partial 16S ribosomal RNA". It matches the Rfam family "Bacterial small subunit ribosomal RNA", at positions 29 to 507 of the family's 1533-position model. The record is from RNAcentral.
ACGAACGCUGGCGGCGUGCUUAACACCUGCAAGUCGAACGAAGAGCGAUGGAAGCUUGCUUCUAUCAAUCUUAGUGGCGAACGGGUGAGUAACGCGUAAUCAACCUGCCCUUCAGAGGGGGACAACAGUUGGAAACGACUGCUAAUACCGCAUACGAUCUAAUCUCGGCAUCGAGGAUAGAUGAAAGGUGGCCUCUACAUGUAAGCUAUCACUGAAGGCGGGGAUUGCGUCUGAUUAGCUAGUUGGAGGGGUAACGGCCCACCAAGGCGAUGAUCAGUAGCCGGUCUGAGAGGAUGAACGGCCACAUUGGGACUGAGACACGGCCCAGACUCCUACGGGAGGCAGCAGUGGGGAAUCUUCCGCAAUGGACGAAAGUCUGACGGAGCAACGCCGCGUGAGUGAUGACGGCCUUCGGGUUGUAAAGCUCUGUUAAUCGGGACGAAAGGCCUUCUUGCGAAUAGUGAGAAGGAUUGACGGUACCGGAAUAGAAAGCCACGGCUAACUACGUG